RNAcentral lists this ribosomal RNA (377 nucleotides) under uncultured bacterium. RNAcentral's name for it is "bacterial SSU rRNA". It matches the Rfam family "Bacterial small subunit ribosomal RNA", at positions 521 to 896 of the family's 1533-position model. The record is from RNAcentral.
UAAUACGAGGGGGGCAAGCGUUGUUCGGAAUUAUUGGGCGUAAAGGGUGCGUAGGCGGUUUGACAAGUCUGAUGUGAAAUCUAUGGGCUCAACCCAUAGUCUGCAUUAGAAACUGUCGGGCUUGAGUAUGGGAGAGGUGAGUGGAAUUUCCGGUGUAGCGGUGAAAUGCGUAGAUAUCGGAAGGAACACCUGUGGCGAAAGCGGCUCACUGGACCAUUACUGACGCUGAUGCACGAAAGCUAGGGGAGCAAACAGGAUUAGAUACCCUGGUAGUCCUAGCCCUAAACGAUGAUUGCUUGAUGUGGCAGGUACCCAAUCCUGCCGUGUCGAAGCUAACGCGAUAAGCAAUCCGCCUGGGGAGUACGGUCGCAAGGCUG